UCGUCUGCUGAUCAGGAGCUGGCACAGCAGUGGAACAAACACACUGUCCUUCAUCUUCUGUGUUGAUCAGACUGUCUGUGGCUUCAUUUGAAGGGUAAGUAGAGGACACUGUCACUGACUGAGUUUACAUGCGCACUAAUCCACUAUUUUCUGAAUUUGAUGCCUUGUCUAAAUAAACUUGUCUGAAAGAAAGAUGCGUUGGUGUGAUUUUGUUUCCCUGCAUAUAAACCC
RNAcentral lists this long non-coding RNA (231 nucleotides) under Cottoperca gobio. RNAcentral's name for it is "lncRNA (ENSCGOG00000021240.1)". The record is from RNAcentral. Lineage: Eukaryota; Metazoa; Chordata; Actinopteri; Perciformes; Bovichtidae.